GUGGGCUAACGGGAAAAGCUCAGCCAAACAACUGACCGGCUGAGAGCGCCACAGCAAUGGAUACGCGCUCGCCAUGCAGUCGCUACCGCUGCCGCCGCCGCCGCCAGCGCCAUCAUUCGUUUAUCAAAGCCCAACGAAAGUGUAAAAAGGAGAGUGUGGUGAGAACACAAAUGUGAGCGUAUGCGUGGCUAACGAUCUGCCGAUCGCGAGAGCGCGAGAGUGCAUAUUUGCUAAAUUCGCUCACAGCAUUUUAUAUGCAUAUCUCUAUCUUUAUACGAGCCUGCGCGUGUGUGUGUGCAAUGAGUGUGCGGCAAUUGUUUGUUAUUGUAGCUUUAUUGCACAAUCUUUACAUCAAGCAGCCAGGCAAACAAGCACAAAAAAAAAGUAUAACAAUCACGAAAAACCGAUGGCGAAAUACCCUGUAAUCCAUGUAUUUUUGUAUAUCAUUGAAAUGUCUUUCAAUAGAAUAUAUGUCACGUUGCUUUUUAUAUCAAGAAAUUUAUCAUAAUGACGCAGAAGAUUAUAUUUGUUUGUGCGUUAUAUAGUUCCUACAUUAGAUUUGGAUAGGGUAUAGCAGAUUUACCCGUCAAGCGGCCACUUUCGCUGCGAUGCAAAUUGCAAUUGCCCUACAACUGUGAACAUAUGAAAAAAGGAACAAGUGGCUGCAAUGCUUGCCAGUGCUACUCAAACUUUAGCAUGCAGCAGUGAGCAGUGUGCAAAGAGAGCGUGCGAGACCGAGAGAGGGAGUGUGUGUAAAUUUUGUUUUUGCUUUAUUUAUAAUGGGCUUUUGCACAAUUUACUUUUGUAUAUGCUUUGUAUGCCAGUCAGCCGCCUUCUCACACCUCUCUCACACUGUCGCUCUCGCUCUCGCUCUGCCUUUCGCUCCAUUCAAUUGUGUUUGCGUCGGCGUGCAUAAUCGACGUCGCUGCUUUUAUGCUAAUUGAAGCUGGGAGUCAGGCUGAUGAUGCUGAUCUUACCGAACGGUGACAAAUUUACAACAAGAAAAAGAAGAAGGCAUAGUAUGUACUGAUAUUACCGUUACACGCAAAUAUGUAUGUGAAGCAGUCUCGAUUGAAGUUUGAAAGUAACUGUAAAAUAGUUUUGCUCAUUUAUGGGACCAAUCAGACAUGUAAAUUUCUGGAAGGGAAAGGGAAAUAAAUGGGAGGGACAUUUAGAAAAUAA
Long non-coding RNA from Drosophila mojavensis, 1182 nucleotides. RefSeq lists it as uncharacterized. The record is from RefSeq and is a predicted model, not a curated record. Lineage: Eukaryota; Metazoa; Arthropoda; Insecta; Diptera; Drosophilidae. The transcript has 2 exons.